CUAUUUCACUCAAGAUCAAUACCAAUGCUUACUUUGCUUUGAUUCAAUCAGUAAGUCAGUCAACUACAUCUAAAUAAGACAUAUACUCCAUAAAUCAAAUAAGCACAUCCAUAGCCACAGAUUCUCUUCAUCUCAUUAAUUUUUGCUCCAGUUCUCUAGGUAAUUUUCUUUUUUUUUUUAUUAUAUAUAUUCUUUAAAAACUGAUGUAUAAAUCUUAAACAUCGGAACUACUG
Molecule: long non-coding RNA, 233 nt
Filed under: Manihot esculenta (cassava)
Lineage: Eukaryota; Viridiplantae; Streptophyta; Magnoliopsida; Malpighiales; Euphorbiaceae
Description: long non-coding RNA (MESC_LNC012031)
Source: RNAcentral